UGACCUCAAAUCAGGUAGGACUACCCGCUGAACUUAAGCAUAUCAAUAAGCGGAGGAAAAGAAACUAACAAGGAUUCCCUUAGUAGCGGCGAGCGAAGCGGGAUGAGCUCAAAUUUGAAAUCUGGCGUCUUUCAGGCGUCCGAGUUGUAAUCUAUAGAAGCGUUUUCUGUGCUGGACCAUGUCCAAGUCCCUUGGAACAGGGUAUCAAAGAGGGUGACAAUCCCGUACUUGACAUGACCACCAGUGCUCUGUGAUACGUUUUCGACGAGUCGAGUUGUUUGGGAAUGCAGCUCAAAAUGGGUGGUAAAUUCCAUCUAAAGCUAAAUAUUGGCGAGAGACCGAUAGCGAACAAGUACCGUGAGGGAAAGAUGAAAAGCACUUUGGAAAGAGAGUUAAACAGUACGUGAAAUUGUUGAAAGGGAAACGAUUGAAGUCAGUCGUGUCUAUUGGUUUCAGCCGGUUCUGCCGGUGUAUUACCUUUAGACGGGUCAACAUCAGUUUUGGACGGCACAUAAGAGCAGUUUGAAUGUAUCACCUCCCGGUGUGUUAUAGCUUACUGUUGCAUAUGCUGUCCGAGACUGAGGACUGCAGCUCGCCUUUUAGGCCGGGGUUCGCCCACGUUCGAGCUUAGGAUGUUGACAUAAUGGCUUUAAACGACCCGUCUUGAAACACGGACC
RNAcentral lists this ribosomal RNA (677 nucleotides) under Derxomyces qinlingensis. RNAcentral describes it as "eukaryotic LSU rRNA". It matches the Rfam family "Eukaryotic large subunit ribosomal RNA", at positions 1 to 667 of the family's 3401-position model. Lineage: Eukaryota; Fungi; Basidiomycota; Tremellomycetes; Tremellales; Bulleribasidiaceae. The record is from RNAcentral.